GAUGAACGCUGGCGGCGUGCCUAAUACAUGCAAGUCGAGCGAACAGACGAGGAGCUUGCUCCUCUGACGUUAGCGGCGGACGGGUGAGUAACACGUGGAUAACCUACCUAUAAGACUGGGAUAACUUCGGGAAACCGGAGCUAAUACCGGAUAAUAUAUUGAACCGCAUGGUUCAAUAGUGAAAGACGGUUUUGCUGUCACUUAUAGCUGGAUCCGCGCCGCAUUAGCUAGUUGGUAAGGUAACGGCUUAUCAAGGCAACGAUGCGUAGCCGACCUGAGAGGGUGAUCGGCCACACGGGAACUGAGACACGGUCCAGACUCCUACGGGAGGCAGCAGUAGGGAAUCGUCCGCAAUGGGCGAAAGCCUGACGGAGCAACGCCGCGUGAGUGAUGAAGGUCUUCGGAUCGUAAAACUCUGUUAUUAGUGAAGAACAAAUGUGUAAGUAACUAUGCACGUCUUGACGGUACCUAAUCAGAAAGCCACGGCUAACUACGUG
This 497-nucleotide ribosomal RNA is filed under the name uncultured bacterium. Its description in RNAcentral is "partial 16S ribosomal RNA". It matches the Rfam family "Bacterial small subunit ribosomal RNA", at positions 28 to 507 of the family's 1533-position model. The record is from RNAcentral.